AUUAAAUUCCAUGUAACAAUGGAAAAUUUCUCCUGAGAAACAAAUUAACAUUAUAACCAAGGAAAAAGGGGGAUUUGAAUUUGAUCUCAGAAACAAGAUAAAUGAAGAUAAUUACAUUCAUUAGACAUAAACAUAACAGCUUACAAAGAUUAAUUUUCGGGAAAAUUAGAUGAAGAUGGUUCAAAAAGAAAAUACAGUUCAUAGACAAAUUUGAUGAACAAACCAACUGCUACCCACUCUCCGGAAGCCAAAAGGAAUCCUUCUUGUCUGUACACAAAAGUCGCAGGUUUUUCUUUUUCUUUCUUUUCGCCGGUGCCACAAAACAGAGAUACUUGAAAUCUCUCUCCCCAUCUACUAUUUACAGAGGAGUAAUUUCCAAAGUUCCAAAUUCUUCAACUUCAUAUUCACAGAGUCAGAAAGAAGAAUCGAUGCCACCGAAAUUAAUUUCCCAUUACAAAACAACAAAAGGAAUGAAAUUCCAUGCUGAAUCGACUCGGCUUCACUUCACCAGCUCAGAAACCCACCCAACGUCUGGUGCUGAAGCGGCCGGGUUAGACCCGUUCAUCGAGUUUUCUUUACUGAGCUUUGCGUAUAUCUUUGCCCUCAAGUCCCUUCCAGAUUCCACCCUCUCCAUUGCAGGCUCUUCCCCCAAACUAGAGUCCCAAAUGUCCAGCUGACCGAAUCCGGGACGACUAAUGAUCCGGGUGGGGGUCGAAGGAAGACUGCAAAAGCCGGGACGUAGAGACGAUCCACGAGGCGACUCAAACCCGGAUCCGUUCUGCAUGCUCCAGGAUGCUGGUCCCACUUUCGUCUUACCAAGCUGCAAACCCCGCAUAGACGCAACGAGCUCGCUCAUCGGGUUAAAGGACCCACCAACCACCUGGGGGCUACUCGGCGAAAUUGGCGGCGAAUCAGACUGCGGCGACACAGGCGGUGAUAUUAAAAUCGAGGUGGGUGAAGAAAGAAAAGACCCACCCUUAGUCAAGUACGAGUCAAAAUGGUGCCUCAGAGAUGAGCCAACCUCCAUAUCACCCGAUCCGGACCCGUUUCCCCUCGGGCUCUGCGGAGGCAAAACCCGAAGCUGAUCCGGAGUAUGAGCAAAGAAACAAACCCGACGGCGACAAGCUGGACCAUCCUUGCAUGGUUGGGUACGAUAUCGAGCCGGAUGAAGCCAACACUCAAAAACACCAUGUGCAAACUCGCAUGAGUCACCUUUCUUGCACCCACCUUUGCGAAAGUCUGGGCAGGCCGUACCGGAGUAAUGAUACCUGCGUGGGUCCCGGCGGCGAGCCUUCUCCCCAGGAUGAGCGUACGGACAUUCUGUCCAAUCAUGUGACCUCCCACGUGCGCAGCGCCUCACCUUGAACUCGUACAUGCGAAAAUGAUCGCAGGAGAAGGCAUCCACAGGCAAGUCCAGGUCAUCGCUCAACGAGUCAGGCUCGUUUGAUGGAAGGUACCGGUGGAGCGCCGUUAAGGAGUCGAGAAAAGGCGAACUGGCAUUCCCGCAUUUCGCAAACGGUGACAGUAAGGGUGACGUUGGCUCGUCGAUAAAAGGGUCCCAAGCAGGGAUUUGGACAGUCGGAUUUGAAUGCUGAGAUUCUCCGAUCAUCAUUUUUGCA
RNAcentral lists this unclassified non-coding RNA (1619 nucleotides) under Hevea brasiliensis (rubber tree). Lineage: Eukaryota; Viridiplantae; Streptophyta; Magnoliopsida; Malpighiales; Euphorbiaceae. The record is from RNAcentral.